GACGAACGCUGGCGGCGUGCCUAAUACAUGCAAGUAGAACGCUGAAGGAGGAGCUUGCUCUUCUGGAUGAGUUGCGAACGGGUGAGUAACGCGUAGGUAACCUGCCUGGUAGCGGGGGAUAACUAUUGGAAACGAUAGCUAAUACCGCAUAACCGUAGAUGUUGCAUGACAUUUGCUUAAAAGGUGAUAUUGCAUCACUACCAGAUGGACCUGCGUUGUAUUUGCCAGUUUGAGGGGUAACGGCUCACCAAGGCGACGAUACAUAGCCGACCUGGGAGGGUGAUCGGCCACACUGGGACUGGGACACGGCCCAGACUCCUACGGGAGGCAGCAGUAGGGAAUCUGCGGCAAUGGACGGAAGUCUGACCGAGCAACGCCGCGUGAGUGAAGAAGGUUUUCGGAUCGUAAAGCUCUGUUGUAAGAGAAGAACGAGUGUGAGAGUGGAAAGGUCACACUGUGACGGUAUCUUACCAGAAAGGGACGGCUAACUACGUG
Molecule: ribosomal RNA, 495 nt
Filed under: uncultured bacterium
Lineage: Bacteria
Description: partial 16S ribosomal RNA
Rfam family: Bacterial small subunit ribosomal RNA
Source: RNAcentral